AUCUUCUUCUUCUCUUUUCUUCCUAUGUGAGGACUGACUUUCUCCCCAGCUCAAUUCUUUCUUCCUUUCUCCAGGCAGCCAAACUGGCCAAUUAUGCCAAGUAUCAGCGGCUCUGUGACACCCUUUUUGUGAUCUUCAGUGCUGUUUUUAUGGUUACACGACUAGGAAUCUAUCCAUUCUGAACACAAGAACCCUAUUGCCCUGCUUUUACCUUAGCCUGUGCUGACCUUCUGUGGACUCUCACAGGACCUCUGCUGCCUCACACCGUAUUUCUAGCAAGGUCGGAUCCAGACUCAGAGUACCCGGCUUGGUUGGCUUCUCAGGACUGACUCAUCUCAGGAACAGUCCUCAUUUUAUGCCUAAGAUUCUGAACACGACCCUCUUUGAGAGCUGGGAGAUAAUCGGGCCUUAUGCUUCAUGGUGGCUCCUCAAUGGCCUGCUGCUGACCCUACAGGUUCUGCAUGUCAUCUGGUCCUACCUAAUUGCACGGAUUGCUUUGAAAGCCUUGAUCAGGGGAAAGGUGACCUGUCCAGGAAGGAUUAGACCCUGUACUCUCCAUUCUUUCCUCACCUCCUUCCUUUUUUCUAUGCCUGGCAGGAGCUGGACAGUUUCAUCUCUUGCAUGUAUCGAAGGAUGACCGCAGUGAUGUGGAGAGCAGCUCAGAGGAAGAAGAUGUGACCACCUGCACAAAAAGUCCCUGUGACAGUAGCUCCAGCAAUGGUGCCAAUCGGGUGAAUGGUCACAUGGGAGGCAGCUACUGGGCUGAAGAGUAAGGUGGUUGCUAUGGGGACUUCAGCACACAUGGACUUGUAGGGCCACUGGCAACAUACUCCUCUUGGCCCUUCCCAUAUCUACUCUUCUGUGAUUGGGAGACUGCAAGGCACUGAGGAGUAUCAAAGAAGCAAAUAUUUUCACUUUGAAAGAAAACUGCCAUUUUGUAUUUAAUAGUCUCCAGGUUCUUUCAGUAAUGUUAUUUGCUCUGUGUGUUUUUGUGUGUUUGUUGAUGUGCGUUUGUGCAUAUGCGUGAGUUUCAUUGCCGGGUUGGGGCACAAUUGUGGACUGGGGCCGUGAGGCCUUCCCUGGUCCCCACUGAACCCACCUUAGUUCCACAUUUGGCUGCAUCUUGAAUUAUGCCGACUCCAGACUGUCUCCUCCUUUUUUGCCCUUGGCUCUUGACACUCUAAACCCCUGGACCAUCUGAAUGGAGCAGUCAAGUGCAGUCCCAGAUUUCUGUACUGUUCCUCUUUCACAGCUGGAAUAUGUCACAUGAUGAAGUUGUAUAGAAACAGAACCAUGGAUGGAUGGCCAGGAUUGCCGUGGUCCCUAGCUAGAUCCCCUUCCUAUCAAUCACCUGAUAGCAACAGGGACAGCUGCCAAUACCCUGCUCUUUACUCAAUGGUACCCAGGGAGGGAGCAUGGGAAGAGGGUGAGCUGAGGGCUGGGGGAGGGCAAC
Molecule: long non-coding RNA, 1453 nt
Filed under: Pan troglodytes (chimpanzee)
Lineage: Eukaryota; Metazoa; Chordata; Mammalia; Primates; Hominidae
Description: long non-coding RNA NONPTRT003467
Source: RNAcentral